UACGUAGGAGACGAGCGUUGUCCGGAAUCACUGGGCGUAAAGCGCGUGUAGGCGGAUCGGCAAGUCUGCUGUGAAAGCUCCUGGCUUAACCGGGAGUGGUCGGUGGAAACUGCCAGUCUGGAGGACGGUAGAGGUAGGUAGAAUUCCUGGUGUAGCGGUGAAAUGCGCAGAUAUCAGGAGGAACACCGGUGGCGAAGGCGGGUCUCUGGGCAACAACUGACGCUGAGGAGCGAAAGCGUGGGGAGCGAACAGG
Molecule: ribosomal RNA, 253 nt
Filed under: uncultured bacterium
Lineage: Bacteria
Description: partial 16S ribosomal RNA
Rfam family: Bacterial small subunit ribosomal RNA
Source: RNAcentral